Molecule: small nuclear RNA, 148 nt
Organism: Lutra lutra (Eurasian river otter)
Lineage: Eukaryota; Metazoa; Chordata; Mammalia; Carnivora; Mustelidae
Product: U4 spliceosomal RNA
Exons: 1
Source: RefSeq, a predicted model, not a curated record
AGCUUUGCGCAGUGGCAGUAUCGUAGCCAAUGAGGUUUAUCCGAGGUGCGAUUAUUGCUAAUUGGAGUGAGAGAGAUGAUAUGUAUCUCUGUGGAUACGGUUUGUCUCUCUCAUUAAGUGAGCCAAAAAAAGUUAACAUUCUGUAAUA